Molecule: long non-coding RNA, 4253 nt
Filed under: Daphnia pulex (common water flea)
Lineage: Eukaryota; Metazoa; Arthropoda; Branchiopoda; Diplostraca; Daphniidae
Description: uncharacterized LOC124193020, transcript variant X1
Source: RNAcentral
GGGUCAAAACUGGUCAAAACGCUUUCUAGAUUCUGUUCCUCUAAGAGAUAUAAGAGAAAAUGGACGUUGGCAAUGUUUUAAGUUUCAAACCCUGAAGGCCGUAUCCAGAUUGCAUAGUCGCGAUGCGGAUGCGAUGAGCAAAUUGCAUUCGUGACUCAACUCUACAAGCCAUUCGCUGAGUGUUUGGGUCCGGGGUCCACAAGCUGGCCAUUUUUCGCUGCUCUCAUACGACGUGUCACUAUUAUUGACAGAACGUCAUCAAUGCCACAGGCAAGAAAUUGGUAAAAAAUUGAGAUCAAGUUGAAAAGGCUGAGCAGCAAAUUCAAGACAUUGGAUCUCACCUGUGCCCAGUCUGAGCAGUUCAACAUGGUUCAACCCCAGACCUCCAGUAGAUAGGUUGUGCCCAAUACGAUGACAUUUGAAGUGUCUUCCCAAUGCUGUUUGCUACCUUACAACCGGUUGUAUGUAUUAUCGAAUUGUUUGAAGGUUUGGUUAUGACUGAGAGGAUGCAGCUUAUGUAUUGAAAGUUCGUCGGUGUCUCUACAUCAACGUGGACCAUCUUUUAAUUUUGUUGGUUACAUUAUUCGUUUCAAGAAUGGAUGCAUCUGGUGUCAGUUGCCAGUGGCCACUAGCUAAGUCGCAACGCAUCCAAACGUGGCUUUCAUAUCUUAAGGCAUCCCGUCAUUUGUUGUCGAAAUGCUGUUCGAAGAAAUCAAGCAGACCCAUCCCCAGCCACGUCAACCUGAAGAAGGAAAGGACAGUUGGCAUUUUCUUCACACUCGAAGGUCGCGGAUAUCAUAAGUCAUAACGUAAAACGUGUCAUGCCACGGGGUAGAGGUUGGGUGAGAGAGCAGAAAGACCCAUCCCCAGCCACGUCAACCUGAAGAAGGAAAAGGCCAGUUUUUUGGCAUUUUCUUCACACUCGAAGGUCGCGGAGAUCAUAACGUAAUACGUAUCAUGCAACGGCGGAGAGGUUGGGUGAGAAAGUUUCUUAAAAGGUGAUAAAAGGCGAAAUAAUUAGUCGAGUGAUUAUCUCUGACUUGACGACAGCUGCCGUGCACUAUUUGUCCCCAACUGCAUUCUUCAUUUUAUGAAGGGUGUUUAGUAAACUGUGGCGUCGUGCUGAGGCUUUAGAAUACUACACUGCAACUUAUGCUGCCCCGAGCUGCUUAACCAAAGAGCCUGAGUACUGCAUCGUGAUUCCAUUCGUUUUAAGCCAUAACCAUUUGGUAUUAAUUUGAUAUUGUUUGUUUUACACCCAUCCACGGCAACGUCAACCUGCAGAAGGAAGAGGCCAGUUUGCAUUUCCUUCACUUUCGAAGGUCACGGAGAUCAUUACGUAAAACUGUCAAUGCGGUGGUGUAGAGGUUGGGUGAGAACGGGAAGUGUUUGCUUUGCUUUAUUAUCAAGCAAGUAUAAUAGCCGCAGGCCUUAAGAGAGGGGUCAGGGUGAGAAAAAGUCGUUUAAAUGGCAAGAGGAAAAGCCACGGAACUCAGUCGAGUGAGGAUCUCCGACACGGCAACAACUGCUGCGCCAUAUGUGUCACCAACUACCUUCUUCGUCACAUUGCCAGUUCGCAAUCAUGGUUUAGUUAACUAUGGCGCAGUGCUGAUGUUUGGUGUUGUAUCGUUAAUGAUUAAGGCACUACACUGACGUCCUGAAGUAUUACUCUGCCCCGAGUUACUACACCACCAAGGGCCAAGGCGACGGAGCAUGACUACGCAUGCUGCCCUAUCCUACUACACCGAGGCCCCCAACUGCUACACCGAGGCUCCCGCUGAUUACUCCACCAAAACGGUCGAAUACUACAUCGAAGCGGUUAAGUACUACUCGGCCCCGAUUUACACAACCAAAACUGAGGCGGCCAAGUAUUACGCUGUCCCGACGUACUACAGAGAAGCUGCUCUUUCGUGCUACGUUGAACAGAAAUACUACACUUAUGCUCCAGUUCACUACACUACGAUCACGCUACACCGCAGCCCCCAGGUACUACACCGAAGAAGCCGCCUAUUAUACAACAACGUAUGCUGCCUAGUUUAUUACACCGAGAAUCCCAAGUACUACAUCACUAAGGCACCGGAAUUCUACACGUCUAUGUAUGCUGCCCUUGCCUACUACACCGAGGCCCCAAGUAUUACUGUGCGUAAAAGGAGUCGUCUAAAAAAAAAGUCAUCCCCGAACUGCAGUGUGCCCUAUCUGUCACCAACUGCAUUCCUCAUCGUGUAACCGAUUCGCAAUUCUGGUCAACUAUGGCGUCGUGCUCCUGUUGGGUGUUGUAUCGUUGAUGGCUGGAUCGAACGCAGGUGUAGUGAUGUCUUCUUGAUAUGGCGGAUAUCAAACCGCAACGCCGCCGCCUUCCUACACAACUUACGCAACGAUCAGUUUCUGCACCAACGUCUUCAAGUACUACGCCACUAAAGCACCGGAGUUUUAUACCAUGCACAACUUAUGCUGUCCCGAGCCACUACACUGACACCCCGAAGUAUUACUCUGCCCCGAGUUACUACACCACCAAGGCGACCGAGUACUACAUGACAAGGCAUGCUGCCCCAUCCUACUACACCGAGGCUCCCAAGUAUUACUCUGUUCUCGGCUGAUAACUUCACCAAAAUGGUCGAAUACUACACCGAAGCGGCAAAGUACUUCUCUGCCCCGAGGUACUCAACCAGAACUGAGGCGGCCAAUUAUUAUGCAGUCUCGAUUUAAAACCCAGAAGCUGCUCUUUCGUGCUACGUUGAACAGAAAUACUACACUGAUGCUCCAGUCUUCUACACCACGACCUACGCUAUGUGCCACCAACUACCUUCUUCAUCGCAUUAUCAGUUCGCAAUCAUGGUUUAGUUAACAAUGGCGCAGUGUUGCUGUUUGGUGUUGAAUCGUUAAUGGUUGGGUCGACCACGGGUGUACAUAUGUCUCCUGGACAUGGUAGAUACCAAGCAACGGCAGCGAAGGAAUAAUAAACCACGCCGUCGCCUUACUACGAAACGAAGUCCACACAAGCAACGUCUACUUACUACGCCGAGGCCUUCAAGUGCUACACCACUAAGGCUCUAGAGUUACGCGACAAAUUAUGCUGCCCCGAGUUACAUCACCAAAGCGCCUGAGUACUACACCACCGAGUACACUGUCCCAGCCUACUACACCGAGGUUUCAGCUUAUUUCAAUGCCGAAGCGGUCGAGUACUACACCGAACCGUACAAGUACUACUCUGCACCGAAGUACACAACCACAACUGAGGCGGCCAAGAACUACGUAGCCCAGACUUGCAACACAGCAGCUGCUCCUUCGUACUGCGUUGAACUGCAAUAAUACACCGAGGCUUCAGUUUACAACAGCAUAACCCACGCUACACCUAGAUACGAAGACCCCAACUACUAUACCCAAGAGGUCACACCACGUACACUGCCCCAUUUUACUACACUGAGGAACCCAAGUAUUACUUUGCUCCAAGCUACUACAAAACUGAGGCUUCUGUUUAAUACACCAAGUCACCGAGUAUUACAGCCAAAUGUAAGGUGUCGUGCUGCUGUUGGUUGUUGUAUCCUUGGUGGUUGGGUCAAUCACUAGUGUACCGAUGUCUCUUGGUGGUGGAUACCGAACCACAACGCCGCCGUCUUACUGCACGACAAAAACGUAUGCAACAACCGGAGUACUACACCACUGAGGCACAGUCGGAGUACUACACCACUGAGGCACAGUCGGAGUACUACACCACUGAGGCACCGUCGGAGUACUACACCGUCCCCAGCUACUACGCCACCAAGGGAAAAUGCUACACCGAAGUGCCCAAGCGCUACUCUGCCCCGAAUUACUACACAGCGGCUGCUCCUUCGUACUACGUUGGACCGAAAUACUACAAUGAGGUUCCAGUUACUACACUACAACGUUUACUACACUAUUGCCCUCAGCUACCAUACCGAGGCUCUGCUCCCAUACCGAUGCUCCCAAGUACUACAAUACCAAGGCACCCGAGUAUUAUAUCACUACUUAGGCAGUUCCGACCUAAUGCACCGAAGCUGCGAAGUAUUCCACUGCUCCGAGUUACUACACCAUCAAGGUACCCCUGGAUAUUACAUCUAAACCUACGGUUCUCCAGUUCAGUACAGGGAGGCUCUUAAAUACUAGAGUCGAAAUUUCUGAUUUAUUUAUUUGUGUACAGAUUUUUCGGUCAUUAACUAACAGUUACUAGUCACUGGGAAGUGUUGUUGAUCUUAAAUGAGAAAAUAAAUGUUUUAAUGGUAACCAUCUUUUAA